AUGGUUUUGUAGUUUAUAAGAAUGAUGAUUAGGUUUUCAUAAGCAUGUGUAAGAUGUGUUCCUCAAAUCUUACUUGAACCUCAGUAUAUUACUUGUUUGAUG
Molecule: small nucleolar RNA, 102 nt
Organism: Nycticebus coucang (slow loris)
Lineage: Eukaryota; Metazoa; Chordata; Mammalia; Primates; Lorisidae
Product: small nucleolar RNA U13
Exons: 1
Source: RefSeq, a predicted model, not a curated record